Molecule: ribosomal RNA, 801 nt
Filed under: Triticum aestivum (bread wheat)
Lineage: Eukaryota; Viridiplantae; Streptophyta; Magnoliopsida; Poales; Poaceae
Description: partial small subunit ribosomal RNA
Source: RNAcentral
AUGGAGCCAAUGAGAGAGGAGGUUGCAGAUCCCGAUCGUUUGGAUACAACAAAUCAGAUCAAGGAGAAGAUCCACAUCGUGGUGAUGGUUAGCGGCGACGUUGGGGGCCACACUGAGCAGGAGAUCACGCAGAUUGAUUCUCGGGAUGGUUCUCAUGCAUAUGCAGAGCCGCUAAUUGGGCAAGGCCGUGGUGACCAAGCCAGUCCUCCCCUUGAUCCCAUAUUGACGCUGCUCCGCGCGCGGCUAUCAGGCUCCAGUCUAGUGUGCCAGGAGGUAGAUAGCACGCCAGGUCUACCAGAGCCACAAGCCACAUGUGCGACGGUAGACGUGCACUUGUUGGCAGGGAUGACAAACCAAGAGGUGAUUGCAUAUGAUAGUCUCAAGGCGUUUUGCACCAACAUCAUGAAGAAGCUGGCCCCACCGUUGCUGAAGAAAGUCAAGGCGUCCUCUCUCCGUCUCGACAUGGAGCCUUUCACGCCCAAGCACACGACGAGGGCGACAAAACGCAAUGCGGCUGCAUCCACGACCAAGGCGAAACCUGUGGAGAACAUCCUACUGCGUACCUUGGGACUAGUUCCUGACGAGAUGGUUUUGAAUGAGGAGGCAGUCGGCGAGCUAAAGUUGUUGUUCGACUCGCCUCUGAGAGAGCAACACGUGUGUGUACUAGCGGCCCUGUUUGGCACGACCUUGCCAUCGUCAGAGGAGCUCGCGCGAGGAAGGGACGCGGCUGUGUCGGUGGUCUUAGCGUUGGCAGGCCGGUGCUGGUGUUUGACCUCAGUUCCUUAUGGAGUGCAACCCUGA